AACAUUUUCAUUACGAAAUUUACUUUUUUCACUCAAAAGUUCUUAUCCUAUUAUUUAUAUUAUUUUAGUGGUCCGGCCCACUUUGACACUUUGACACCUCUGGUAUAGGAUAUAAAUGUUUUCGCUAUACAUUCAGACAGCAUGUCAACAUGGAGUGAUUUCAGACUCGGCAUUAAGUAUUUUUCUGGUAGCUGUUAGCCUUAGUAAGCUAAUAGCUAACAUUACACAUAUUACAUAUAAUUUUUAUCAAUAGCUAGACAAAUAUGUAACAAUACUAGCAUAUAUAACCUAUCUGACUCUGUACAUAAUGACAUAGCUUAUAGUGUUAGCCACACAUAAGUAAUUUUCUGUUAGCUUGCCUCUGUUAAGCUAACUACCAAUUAGCUUAUGGCUACUGGAAAGGUAACUACGAAGGCUAACUGUUACAUUUAUAUGAUGUGAAUGUAAUUUACAGCCACAUAACAGACCAAGGACAUGUUGAAAAGAACUGUACAUAAUCACACUACAGUUCUUUUUUCUAUUUUGCUUGUGUUUUUUAUGUUUUUAGGGCAUUCAAGGUGAACAGUGACCCUGACACCCUCUGUACUGAGCCUCAUACUGUAAAAUACAGUCUGAUUUUUCCAAGCCACACUUAAACCUCACACUGUUUGCAAGUAAAGAUGUAACACUGAGGUUAAAACUGGCAGGACUCUGUGAUUUUCCUGCAGUUUUAGAGUCUCUAAAUAACAGUGUGCCUUCUGGUGUCCAAAUGGAAACACAGUGCAACUUAAAAGGUGCAGUCGUCCUCUUAGAAUACAAAGUUGCUUCGAUGAACACUGGGUCACAGGACUGAGUGACCAAACGUGCACCUCAUAAUGAACCACUUAAUGAGCCACGGUUUGUAUUCUGAAUAUGUAACUGCAGUAGGUGUGUUUUUUCUGCUUUAACCUUAGAUGUGCUGAUAGUAGACAUGAACAGUGAAUCAGAGCUAUGCAGGUACAGACAGUAUGUUUUUAAUGAGUGGUCCAAAACCUUCAGAAGGACAGGGAACCUCUGGGACACUGGGAGUAUGUUUGCUGCUGUGCACUUUUUGAAAGCUGCCUCUUACACACUGACUGUAAUCCUCAAACAAUUAUGACUGAAUUAAAAACUUAUUUGUCAA
Sphaeramia orbicularis (orbiculate cardinalfish) is the source of this 1141-nucleotide long non-coding RNA. RefSeq lists it as uncharacterized. The record is from RefSeq and is a predicted model, not a curated record. NCBI's taxonomy places the organism in Eukaryota, Metazoa, Chordata, Actinopteri, Kurtiformes, Apogonidae. The transcript is spliced from 2 exons.